Molecule: ribosomal RNA, 984 nt
Filed under: metagenome
Description: bacterial LSU rRNA
Rfam family: Bacterial large subunit ribosomal RNA
Source: RNAcentral
CGGUCCUAAGGUAGCGAAAUUCCUUGUCGGGUAAGUUCCGACCUGCACGAAUGGCAUAAUGAUGGCCACACUGUCUCCUCCCGAGACUCAGUGAAGUUGAAAUGUUUGUGAUGAUGCAAUCUCCCCGCGGCUAGACGGAAAGACCCCAUGAACCUUUACUGUAGCUUUGCAUUGGACUUUGAACCGAUUUGUGUAGGAUAGGCGGGAGGCAGAGAAAGCGCAACGCCAGUUGUGCCGGAGCCGACGUUGAAAUACCGCCCUGAUUUGUUUGAGGUUCUAACCGCGACCCGUGAGCCGGGUUCGGGACCGUGCAUGGCAGGCAGUUUGACUGGGGCGGUCUCCUCCUAAAGGGUAACGGAGGAGUACAAAGGUACGCUAGGUACGGUCGGAAAUCGUGCUGAUAGUGCAAAGGCAAAAGCGUGCUUGACUGCGAGACCGACAAGUCGAGCAGAUGCGAAAGCAGGUCUUAGUGAUCCGGUGGCUCUGUAUGGAAGGGCCAUCGCUCAACGGAUAAAAGGUACUCUGGGGAUAACAGGCUGAUACCGCCCAAGAGUUCAUAUCGACGGCGGUGUUUGGCACCUCGAUGUCGGCUCAUCUCAUCCUGGGGCUGUAGCCGGUCCCAAGGGUAUGGCUGUUCGCCAUUUAAAGAGGUACGUGAGCUGGGUUUAAAACGUCGUGAGACAGUUUGGUCCCUAUCUGCCGUGGGCGCUGGAAGAUUGACGGGGGCUGCUCCUAGUACGAGAGGACCGGAGUGGACGCACCUCUGGUGUACCGGUUGUCACGCCAGUGGCAUCGCCGGGUAGCUAUGUGCGGAAGAGAUAACCGCUGAAAGCAUCUAAGCGGGAAACUUGCCUGAAGAUAAGUCUUCCCGGAGGCUAGACCUCCCUGAAGAGUCGUUCGAGACCAGGACGUUGAUAGGUCGGGUGUGUAAGCGUUGUGAGACGUUUAGCUAACCGAUACUAAUUGCUCGUGAGGCUUGAUCCU